This 254-nucleotide ribosomal RNA is filed under the name uncultured bacterium. RNAcentral describes it as "partial 16S ribosomal RNA". It matches the Rfam family "Bacterial small subunit ribosomal RNA", at positions 524 to 776 of the family's 1533-position model. The record is from RNAcentral.
UACGUAGGGUGCGAGCGUUAAUCGGAAUUACUGGGCGUAAAGCGUGCGCAGGCGGUCUGUUAAGACCGAUGUGAAAUCCCCGGGCUUAACCUGGGAACUGCAUUGGUGACUGGCAGGCUUUGAGUGUGGCAGAGGGAGGUAGAAUUCCACGUGUAGCAGUGAAAUGCGUAGAGAUGUGGAGGAACACCGAUGGCGAAGGCAGCCCCCUGGGCCAACACUGACGCUCAGGCACGAAAGCGUGGGGAGCAAACAGG